AACGAACGCUGGCGGCAUGCCUAAUACAUGCAAGUCGAACGAGAUCUUCGGAUCUAGUGGCGCACGGGUGCGUAACGCGUGGGAAUCUGCCCUUGGGUUCGGAAUAACUUCUGGAAACGGAAGCUAAUACCGGAUGAUGACGUAAGUCCAAAGAUUUAUCGCCCAAGGAUGAGCCCGCGUAGGAUUAGCUAGUUGGUGGGGUAAAGGCCCACCAAGGCGACGAUCCUUAGCUGGUCUGAGAGGAUGAUCAGCCACACUGGGACUGAGACACGGCCCAGACUCCUACGGGAGGCAGCAGUAGGGAAUAUUGGAAAAUGGGGGAAACCCUGAUCCAGCAAUGCCGCGUGAGUGAUGAAGGCCUUAGGGUUGUAAAGCUCUUUUACCCGGGAUGAUAAUGACAGUACCGGGAGAAUAAGCUCCGGCUAACUCCGUG
This 433-nucleotide ribosomal RNA is filed under the name uncultured bacterium. RNAcentral's name for it is "partial 16S ribosomal RNA". It matches the Rfam family "Bacterial small subunit ribosomal RNA", at positions 29 to 507 of the family's 1533-position model. The record is from RNAcentral.